RNAcentral lists this ribosomal RNA (430 nucleotides) under Ehrlichia minasensis. Its description in RNAcentral is "bacterial SSU rRNA". It matches the Rfam family "Bacterial small subunit ribosomal RNA", at positions 124 to 588 of the family's 1533-position model. The record is from RNAcentral. Lineage: Bacteria; Pseudomonadati; Pseudomonadota; Alphaproteobacteria; Rickettsiales; Anaplasmataceae.
AUCUACCUAGUAGUACGGAAUAGCCAUUAGAAAUGAUGGGUAAUACUGUAUAAUCCCCGCGGGGGAAAGAUUUAUCGCUAUUAGAUGAGCCUACGUUAGAUUAGCUAGUUGGUAAGGUAAUGGCUUACCAAGGCUAUGAUCUAUAGCUGGUCUGAGAGGACGAUCAGCCACACUGGAACUGAGAUACGGUCCAGACUCCUACGGGAGGCAGCAGUGGGGAAUAUUGGACAAUGGGCGAAAGCCUGAUCCAGCUAUGCCGCGUGAGUGAAGAAGGCCUUCGGGUUGUAAAACUCUUUCAAUAGGGAAGAUAAUGACGGUACCUAUAGAAGAAGUCCCGGCAAACUCUGUGCCAGCAGCCGCGGUAAUACGGAGGGGGCAAGCGUUGUUCGGAAUUAUUGGGCGUAAAGGGCACGUAGGUGGACUAGUAAGU